Molecule: ribosomal RNA, 894 nt
Filed under: uncultured bacterium
Lineage: Bacteria
Description: bacterial SSU rRNA
Rfam family: Bacterial small subunit ribosomal RNA
Source: RNAcentral
UAGAGUUUGAUCCUGGCUCAGGACGAACGCUGGCGGCGUGCCUAAUACAUGCAAGUCGAGCGGGCCAGAACGAAGGGUAACCGGAGUUCUGGUUUAGCGGCGCACGGGUGAGUAACGCGUAGGUAAUCUACUCUGAAGACCGGGAUAACACCUCGAAAGGGGUGCUAAUACCGGAUACGCUCUUCUCCUCGACGGAGGGGAAGAGGAAAGGUGGCGGAAGGCGCAAGCCUGCUACCACUUCGGAAUGAGCCUGCGUCCUAUUAGCUAGUUGGUAGGGUAAUGGCCUACCAAGGCUAUGAUGGGUAGCUGGUCUGAGAGGACGGUCAGCCACACUGGGACUGAGACACGGCCCAGACUCCUACGGGAGGCAGCAGUAGGGAAUAUUGGGCAAUGGGCGAAAGCCUGACCCAGCGACGCCGCGUGGGCGAUGAAGGUCUUUGGAUUGUAAAGCCCUUUUCAGGGAGAAGAAGGGAUCGCCGGGGAAUACCUGGUGAUCCUUGACGGUACCCCUGGAAUAAGCCCCGGCUAACUACGUGCCAGCAGCCGCGGUAAUACGUAGGGGGCAAGCGUUGUCCGGAAUUACUGGGUGUAAAGGGCGUGUAGGCGACUCCUUAAGUUGAAUGUGAAAUCUCCCGGCUCAACUGGGAGGAGUCAUUCAAUACUGAGGGGAUGUGAGGACAGAAGAGGGAAGUGGAAUUCCCGGUGUAGCGGUAAAAUGCGUAGAUAUCGGGAGGAACACCAGUGGCGAAGGCGGCUUCCUGGUCUGUCCCUGACGCUGAGGCGCGAAAGCUAGGGGAGCAAACGGGAUUAGAUACCCCGGUAGUCCUAGCCCUAAACGUUGGGUACUAGGUGUAGGAAAGGUUCAAUCUUUUCUGUGCCGUAGCUAACGCGUUA